GUCAAGACCCAAGUCAGCGUCUGCGUCAGCGGGUCAGCCAUUUUGAAAAAAAAUAAAUUGUUUGGGAAUGGUGAAUAGUAAUUAGAUUUUUGAAAAGAGAAAUUGCUAGUAUUCCUAAUAAAUAACAAUUUCAAAACUCGUGUUUAAGUGUUUUAAAAAUGACUAAUAAAACUACUGUCAACGAAGAUCCUUUCCAAUACAUUAAAGUUAGUGAAGAUGAAGAUGAUGCUAACGCCGUCGAGAUUCCUUGUGAACUUGACGGGACUCUGUUGCUGUCGACUUUAGUAGCUCAGUUUCCUGGAGCUUGUGGCCUCAAAUAUCGCCAUCGUGAAACCAAAACGAUUCGCGGUAUCCGUCUUAGUGAUGGAAAACUGCAUCCCCCGAGUGAAGCGGGAUGGGGCAAACUUUUGUAUAUUUGUGUCUUCCCAAAAGAGAACAAGCGAAAGAUGGAAGAUGUAUCACCUGAAAAUUCAGCAGCAAAAACAAAACGUUUAGAGAAGAAGCUUACUUGCUCAGAUCUUAUAUGCCUCGGUCUGCCUUGGAAAUCUACUGAAGAGUCUAUUAAACAAUACUUUGAGCAGUUUGGCGAAGUCGUAAUGGUUCAAUUGAAAAAAGAUAAAAAUGGUGUUUUUAAAGGUUUUGGUUUUGUGAGAUUCGCUACCUACGCCUCACAGAUGAGAGCCUUGGCUCAAAGACAUAACAUUGAUGGUCGUUGGGUUGAUGUCCGAAUACCAAACUCCAAAGAAGGAGUUGUACCACAGAUGCCUUGCAAAGUUUUUGUUGGCAGGUGUACCGAAGAUAUGACUGCAGAAGACCUCUGUGAAUAUUUCUCCAGGUUUGGUGAAGUAACAGAUGUAUUUGUUCCGAGGCCAUUCAGAGCUUUUGGUUUUGUUACUUUCUUAGACCCUGAAGUGGCUCAGAGUCUCUGUGGUGAAGAUCAUGUAAUAAAAGGUGCAUCAGUUUCUGUCUCUAGUGCAGCACCAAAAAUCAAAGGCAAGUCCAACCAGAAUUGGAAAGAGGAGCCUUAUGGCUCCAACAAUUGGGAUGGCAAUAGACCUGGACCAGCCGGUGGUGGUAAAGGCAAUGGAAACAGUAACAAUAUAGACACACUGAACAUGCAGAAUUUGGGAAUAAACCCUAAUGGUGGCCCACCACCUAACUUUAAUUUGCCAAUAAGUCUUGUGGCUGCAGCUCUUAACCAAGCUGGGUGGGGUGGGUUUCUCGGAGGACAGGGCAAUGCAGGCCCAAACAACUGGCAAGGAGGCCCUCCUCAAGGUAGUUCUGGUAAAAAUUGGAAUGGUAAUCAAAAUUGGGGACAAAAUGGACCACCUCCAGCUUGGAAUCAGGGGAGCAACCCUAAUUGGAAUGGUGGAAAAAAUGGUAACUGGAACCAAGGGAAUUGGCCCAGUGGACAAUCAUGGGGUGGUAAUAGUGGGGGUGGUUCGGCCAGCUCUGGUGGUGGAUGGAACAACAAAUCUCAAACAUGAGGUUAUAAGGAGCUGAUGCCUCGGUUUCUGUGUGGACUAAAUGUGGCUGCAAUGUUCAAGAAUAGGAAACUACCAUCAGUGUGGCACCUCAAAGUGCUGUAAUUCAAGCAUACUGAAGAAGAAACUUUGAAAUUGACUUGGAUGAUGCUACAAACUGAGACCCACUUUGCAGGUUCUAGGAUCUAGGACAGGGAAGAUUGGAUUAUCAUGAAGACUAAAUAAUUUAAUAAACAUUUAGUUGAAUAUUUUUAUUAAAAAAGUUUGUUUAAUUAAA
This is an RNA transcript of Bicyclus anynana (squinting bush brown), 1761 nucleotides long. It is a transcript of the gene named TAR DNA-binding protein 43-like, with no coding region annotated. The record is from RefSeq and is a predicted model, not a curated record. Lineage: Eukaryota; Metazoa; Arthropoda; Insecta; Lepidoptera; Nymphalidae. The transcript is spliced from 4 exons.